Molecule: long non-coding RNA, 950 nt
Organism: Herpailurus yagouaroundi (jaguarundi)
Lineage: Eukaryota; Metazoa; Chordata; Mammalia; Carnivora; Felidae
Exons: 2
Source: RefSeq, a predicted model, not a curated record
CCAGAGCCCGACGCGGGGCUCGAACUCACGGACCGCGAGAUCGUGACCUGAGCUGAAGUCGGACGCUUAACCGACUGAGCCACCCAGGCGACCCAGCGAAUAACGUGGUUUUGAAAACCACAGCCUAGAAACCUUGUUCAAGUUACAACGCUGCUUUCCUUCACCCCCUCCCCUGCCCCUGCCACUUAAACUCUUUGGAAACAGCUGCAUCAGUUUGGUGACCACGCACGCAUCCAGCUCUGCGGAAACUUCUCUCCCCAACACCGGGGGCCUCGAACUGCCCAGCCAGGGACGCUUGGGAGCCCACAGCUGCCGGCCAGGAAGAUGUCACUGCUGGUUCUGCAGGGCACUUGGGCGGAGCGACCUAAUUCAGGGUAGAUGGAAGGCCUCAGCCCUGACCCCAGGGAAACAGCAAUGGUGCACAGGCUCUGCUCUGCUGCUGGUCCCCAGUCCGAGCACACGUUGCCAUGACGCCCGGGAAUGCGGAAACAGCAGCUUCCUCCGCAGCCCUGUCUGGGGGCCCCCAAGUUUCUGCCUGGUGACAGAGCUGCCUGGUCCCAGCCUCGGUGUCCCUCUUGCUGGUCCCCGGCUCCCAAGGACAGGUUUGGCUUUUGCAGGGAAAUCUUUCUGAUUGGGUCCUAUCAGUGUUGACCUCUGGCACCCAAACAGGGUGCCCUCCCUGGGCUGGAGAGCUGAAAGCUCCUGUGUUCCUGUGGCUGGGUCCUGUCUCUGUUCCGUGCUUCUGGGAAGAGGAGAGACGAACGUCACCACAUCUGGUUACCUGAAAUUCCGAGACACCGCCCGUGUUGUCCGUUUGGACCGGGCCUGUGGAAAGAGACCAGGCCUCAGGGUUGAAUAGACCCUGGCUGUGGGCAAAUUUCUUCACCUCUUCAAGUCUCAGUUUUCCCGUCUAUAAAAUGGGAAUAAAAACAAUACUCUCUACCUCCCAG